RNAcentral lists this ribosomal RNA (218 nucleotides) under uncultured bacterium. RNAcentral's name for it is "partial 16S ribosomal RNA". It matches the Rfam family "Bacterial small subunit ribosomal RNA", at positions 132 to 334 of the family's 1533-position model. The record is from RNAcentral.
UUCAGAGGGGGACAACAGUUGGAAACGACUGCUAAUACCGCAUACGAUCUAACCUCGGCAUCGAGGAUAGAUGAAAGGUGGCCUCUACAUGUAAGCUAUCACUGAAGGAGGGGAUUGCGUCUGAUUAGCUAGUUGGAGGGGUAACGGCCCACCAAGGCGAUGAUCAGUAGCCGGUCUGAGAGGAUGAACGGCCACAUUGGGACUGAGACACGGCCCAG